This 75-nucleotide transfer RNA is filed under the name Nanobdellota archaeon. RNAcentral's name for it is "tRNA-Met". It matches the Rfam family "tRNA". Rfam says of the family: Transfer RNA (tRNA) molecules are approximately 80 nucleotides in length. Lineage: Archaea; Nanobdellati; Nanobdellota. The record is from RNAcentral.
AGCGAAGUGGAGCAGUUAGGAGUGCUCGUCGGGCUCAUAACCCGAAGGUCGAUGGUUCAAAUCCAUCCUUCGCUA